GAUGAACGCUGGCGGCGUGCCUAAUACAUGCAAGUCGAACGAAGAUCUAGCUUGCUAGAUCUUAGUGGCGAACGGGUGAGUAAUACAUAAAUAAUCUGCCCAUAUGACUGGGAUAACUAUUGGAAACGAUAGCUAAUACCGGAUAGGUUGAUCGGAGGCAGCCCUGAUGAAUUAAAGUAGGAUUUCUACACAAAUGGAUGAGUUUAUGGCGCAUUAGUUCGUUGGUGGGGUAACGGCCUACCAAGACGAUGAUGCGUAGCCGACCUGAGAGGGUGACCGGCCACACUGGGACUGAGACACGGCCCAGACGCCUACGGGAGGCAGCAGUAGGGAAUUUUCGGCAAUGGGCGCAAGCCUGACCGAGCAACGCCGCGUGAGUGAUUAAGGCCUUCGGGUUGUAAAGCUCUGUUGUAAGGGAAGAACAUUCAGGAUAGGAAAUGAUCUUGAACUGACGGUACCUUACCAGAAAGCCACGGCUAACUACGUGCCAGCAGCCGCCGCAG
Molecule: ribosomal RNA, 503 nt
Filed under: uncultured bacterium
Lineage: Bacteria
Description: partial 16S ribosomal RNA
Rfam family: Bacterial small subunit ribosomal RNA
Source: RNAcentral